Molecule: ribosomal RNA, 370 nt
Filed under: Escherichia coli
Lineage: Bacteria; Pseudomonadati; Pseudomonadota; Gammaproteobacteria; Enterobacterales; Enterobacteriaceae
Description: bacterial SSU rRNA
Rfam family: Bacterial small subunit ribosomal RNA
Source: RNAcentral
GAGUAAUGUCUGGGAAACUGCCUGAUGGAGGGGGAUAACUACUGGAAACGGUAGCUAAUACCGCAUAACGUCGCAAGACCAAAGAGGGGGACCUUCGGGCCUCUUGCCAUCGGAUGUGCCCAGAUGGGAUUAGCUAGUAGGUGGGGUAAAGGCUCACCUAGGCGACGAUCCCUAGCUGGUCUGAGAGGAUGACCAGCCACACUGGAACUGAGACACGGUCCAGACUCCUACGGGAGGCAGCAGUGGGGAAUAUUGCACAAUGGGCGCAAGCCUGAUGCAGCCAUGCCGCGUGUAUGAAGAAGGCCUUCGGGUUGUAAAGUACUUUCAGCGGGGAGGAAGGGAGUAAAGUUAAUACCUUUGCUCAUUGACG